Empidonax traillii (willow flycatcher) is the source of this 129-nucleotide long non-coding RNA. RefSeq lists it as uncharacterized. NCBI's taxonomy places the organism in Eukaryota, Metazoa, Chordata, Aves, Passeriformes, Tyrannidae. The record is from RefSeq and is a predicted model, not a curated record. The transcript is spliced from 2 exons.
CUUGUAGAAAAGUUCCAUUCUGCCAAAUCUGGUUGCUCAAUUAACCUCUUGGCCAACAACUACAAUUAAAAGCUUCAGAAAGGAGACGAGCUACAGAGACAGAAGAAGAAAACAUUUUCUCUGCAACAG